CCGUAGCCCAAGAGAUCGGGAUAACACCUGGAAACAGAUGCUAAUACCGGAUAACAACAGAUGAUGCCUAUCAACUGUUUAAAAGAUGGUUCUGCUAUCACUCCUGGAUGGACCUGCGGUGCAUUAGCUAGUUGGUAGGGUAACGGCCUACCAAGGCGAUGAUGCAUAGCCGAGUUGAGAGACUGAUCGGCCACAUUGGGACUGAGACACGGCCCAAACUCCUACGGGAGCAGCAGCG
Molecule: ribosomal RNA, 238 nt
Filed under: uncultured Lactobacillus sp.
Lineage: Bacteria; Bacillati; Bacillota; Bacilli; Lactobacillales; Lactobacillaceae
Description: partial 16S ribosomal RNA
Rfam family: Bacterial small subunit ribosomal RNA
Source: RNAcentral